Molecule: transfer RNA, 93 nt
Filed under: Thermosinus carboxydivorans Nor1
Lineage: Bacteria; Bacillati; Bacillota; Negativicutes; Selenomonadales; Sporomusaceae
Description: Selenocysteine transfer RNA
Rfam family: Selenocysteine transfer RNA
Source: Rfam by way of RNAcentral
GGGAGCGGAUGGGGCCUGGUGGCUCCUGCGGUCUUCAAAACCGUCUACGGGGCAUUAAGUUGUCCUGGGUGGGUUCGAUUCCUACACGCUCCC